Molecule: ribosomal RNA, 253 nt
Filed under: uncultured bacterium
Lineage: Bacteria
Description: partial 16S ribosomal RNA
Rfam family: Bacterial small subunit ribosomal RNA
Source: RNAcentral
UACGUAGGCGGCGAGCGCUAUCCGGAAUUACUGGGCGUAAAGCGUACGCCGGCGGCUUCUUAAGUCUGACGUGAAAGCUCCCGGCUUAACUGGGAGAGGUCGUUGGAGACUGGGGGGCUUGAGGCGAUGAGAGGGGUGUAGAAUUCCCGGUGUAGUGGUGGAAUGCGUAGAUAUCGGGAGGAAUACCAGUGGCGAAAGCGACACCCUGGCAUAGGCCUGACGCUCAUGUACGAAAGCGUGGGGAGCAAACGGG